This 72-nucleotide transfer RNA is filed under the name Mesocricetus auratus (golden hamster). It matches the Rfam family "tRNA". From Rfam's summary of the family: Transfer RNA (tRNA) molecules are approximately 80 nucleotides in length. Their secondary structure includes four short double-helical elements and three loops (D, anti-codon, and T loops). Further hydrogen bonds mediate the characteristic L-shaped molecular structure. tRNAs have two regions of fundamental functional importance: the anti-codon, which is responsible for specific mRNA codon recognition, and the 3' end, to which the tRNAs corresponding amino acid is attached (by aminoacyl-tRNA synthetases). tRNAs cope with the degeneracy of the genetic code in two manners: having more than one tRNA (with a specific anti-codon) for a particular amino acid; and 'wobble' base-pairing, i.e. permitting non-standard base-pairing at the 3rd anti-codon position. Lineage: Eukaryota; Metazoa; Chordata; Mammalia; Rodentia; Cricetidae. The record is from Rfam by way of RNAcentral.
GGGGGUGUAGCUCAGUGAUAGAAUAAUGGUCUAGCAAACAUGAUGCCCUGGGUUCCAUCCCCAGUACCUCCA